AACGAACGCUGGCGGCAGGCCUAACACAUGCAAGUCGAGCGCGUGCAGCAAUGCACGAGCGGCGCACGGGUGAGUAACGCGUGGGAAUCUGCCCUAUGGUGGGGGACAACCUCGGGAAACUGAGGCUAAUACCGCAUACGUCCUUCGGGAGAAAGACUUCGGUCGCCAUAGGAGGAGCCCGCGUCCGAUUAGCUAGUUGGUGAGGUAACGGCUCACCAAGGCGACGAUCGGUAGCUGGUCUGAGAGGACGGCCAGCCACACUGGGACUGAGACACGGCCCAGACUCCUACGGGAGGCAGCAGUGGGGAAUAUUGGACAAUGGGGGCAACCCUGAUCCAGCCAUGCCGCGUGAGUGAUGAAGGCCUUCGGGUUGUAAAGCUCUUUUGGCGGGGACGAUGAUGAUGGUACCCGCAGAAUAAGCCCCGGCUAACUUCGUGCCAGCCGCCGCAGUAA
RNAcentral lists this ribosomal RNA (453 nucleotides) under uncultured bacterium. RNAcentral describes it as "partial 16S ribosomal RNA". It matches the Rfam family "Bacterial small subunit ribosomal RNA", at positions 29 to 523 of the family's 1533-position model. The record is from RNAcentral.